Molecule: non-coding RNA, 90 nt
Filed under: unclassified sequences
Description: DUF3800-VII RNA
Rfam family: DUF3800-VII RNA
Source: Rfam by way of RNAcentral
AGCAGGCAAGCGCGGGGUGCUCACCAGGUCGUCCGACGAGGACGGCAGCCCGUGAGGGUGGGAUCCUGGGUCCCCGGGGCCUGCUUGUCU